This 4222-nucleotide long non-coding RNA is filed under the name Homo sapiens (human). Its description in RNAcentral is "HSALNT0148154". The record is from RNAcentral. Lineage: Eukaryota; Metazoa; Chordata; Mammalia; Primates; Hominidae.
CCGCCUCCCGGGUUCACGCCAUUCUCCUGGCUCAGGACUACAGGCGUCUACCACCACGCCCGGCUAAUUUUUUGUAUUUUUUAGUAGAGACGGGGUUUCACCGUGUUAGCCAGGAUGGUCUUGAUCUCCUGACCUCGUAAUCUGCCUGCCUCGGCCUCCCAAAGUGCUGGGAUUACAGGCGUGAGCCACCGCACCCGGCCUGUUUGUUACCUUUUAUUUUAUGGAGAAAAUUAGGGUCAUGAGAUGUGCUUUCCCUCACAUUUCUGCCUCUGCUUUCCCUUUUAAAGUCAUCAAGAUUUAUACCCUUUUCCUUUUGUCUCAGAGGAUGAAUUGUCUCUCUAAUCAGAGCAGUUUCUUUAUGUUUGCUUCUGAUAUUUUAUGCUGUCACUUAUGAGACCUUGUUUUCAUUUGUCAUUUCUGUUUCCAGUCGUGUAUAAACAAGGCCAGGUUUCUCAGAUCUCUGACACUUCCCGUUGCCGAAGAAAGAAAAACUCCUUGGUGGUCCAUUAUAACUUUAGCUGUCAUCCAAUAACUUUCUUUCUCUUUAUAUCCAAACUGUUUUAGUGAGUAUUCUGAACUCUGCCUCCAUUUCCUCACCUUUUGUUUCCUUCUGUAUCUAGCUCUCAGACCCAUCAUUCCCCUGAAAUUUCACCCCAAGGUCACCAGUGACUAUUGUCAAACCAGAUAAAAAUUUUUUGAUUAUUACUGGAUCUCUUUGCUGCUUUUGGAACUUGGUCAUCCCUUUACUCCCUUCUUCUUUGCUUUACGUGUCAGUGCUCUCAGAUGAUUUAUUCAACAAGUAUUGAUUGGGAUACAGAGAUGAACAAGACAGAUAAAUUGUUUUCUCUUAAGGAAUUUACAUUCUAGCUGUUCUCCAUGUGCCUUUCUUACCAGUCAUUUCUGCUAUGGGUAGUCAUUUUCCUCCUUCCCUAAAAUGUUGGGUGUUUCUGUUGUUUGUGACUUUGGCAUAUAAACAAUGAAAAACUGUUCUUUUUUUUUUUUUAGCUUGACCAAUUUUUUUUUUAUACUUUAAGUUCUGGGAUACAUGUGCAGAACGUGCAUGUUUGUUACAUAGGUGUAUACUAAGUGCCAUAGUGGUUUGCUGCACCCAUCAACCUGUCAUCUACAUUAGGUAUUUCUCCUAAUGCUAUCCCUCCCCUAGCCCCUCACCCCCUGACACGCCCCAGUGUGUGAUGUUCCCCUCCCUCUGCCCAUGUGUUCUCAUUGUUCAACUCCCACUUAUGAGUGAGAACAUGUGGUGUUUGGUUUUCUGUUCCUGUGUUAGUUUGCUGAGAAUGAUGGUUUCCAGCUUCAUCCAUGUCCCUGCAAAGGACAUGAACUCAUUCUUUUUUAUGGCUGUAUAAUAUUCCAUGGUAUAUAUGUGCCACAUUUUCUUUAUCCAGUCUAUCAUUGAUGGGCAUUUGGGUUGGUUCCAACUCUUUGCUAUUGUUAAUAGUGCUGCAAUAAACAUACAUGUGGAUGUGAAGCUUGACCAGUUUUUAUAAAAUGAUUAUACCUAUGUGACCACCAUCCAGAUUAGGUUACAGAUACAUAAUAUUACCAGCAUUCAGAAUGAAAACUGUUCUUUUCAUUCUGUACACAUUGCCUGAGUGAACCCAUCAGCUGGCUUGGUUUUAACUACCUCCUACAUGCCCCCAAAUUGAAAUUGUCAGCUUAGACCUCUCUGAGCUUUACCCUCACAUCUGACUAUCCUCCUGGACAGCUCUGCCUGCAAGUCCCACAGACACUUCAAAUUCAGAUGACUGAAACUGAACUCAGUGUCUUUCCUGGACUUAACUCUUAUCACAUUCAUCACUAAGUCCUGAUAGUUUUACCCCCUAAACAUCUCUCAAAUCUGUGCAGUCUUCUCCAUCUCUACUGUUGUCCUUUUACCUGCAAUAUCAUGGCCUUCUAACUGAUUUCCCUGCUUCUAGGCCUGUUCCCCCAUAUCUUUUCUUCACAUUACUCCCCUCCACCCCCAGAUGGUCUUUGGAAACAAGUCUGUAUCAAAUUCCUGCUUAAUCUUUAAAGAUCUGUCCAUGCAUUCAUCCAUUCUUUUCUCUAAUUCAUUCAGCAAACAUUCAUUGUCUACUGGCUUGCAAAAUCCAUUGAAAGUUCUAAAGUUUGAGCUUCUCAGCCAGGGCUCUGCCUGUUCUGAACCCUGCCUGUAUCUCCAGCCUCUUCUCUGCCUCAUGCUUUAGGUUCCAGCAACACUGAAUGGCAUCUUCAUGGGUACUGUGCUAUUUCUUCUUUGUGUACUUGCCCUUGUUCUCUUUGCUUGGAAUCUUCUCCCUGUUUCCUUUCUCCACCUCCUGCUCCUCACCUAAUUAGGCUGCUCCUUUUCACCUAAUUAACCCAGUUUAUAAAUGGGACUCAGUUAUAAAGUUUAGGUCCACCUCCUCCAGGAAAUUUUUUCCUGACACCUCCUUCCUCCCAAUCUCGGUUGGGUACUCUAGCAUUGUGCUUCCACCCUUUGCACAGAGCAAUCAUCAUGUUUACCACAUCUACUAUUAACAUAAUUGUUUGUGUUUUUCUCCUCCACAAGAUUUAUUUUUUUUAGAUGAGGUGUUGCUGUGUUGCCCAAGCUGGACUUGAACCCCUAGGCUCAAGCAAUCCUUCCACCUCAGUCUCCCAAGUAGCAGGGACUACAGAGUGAUGAUGCGGGUGUGCUGGUUGGUGAGACAGGACAGCCGGCACCAGCGAAUCAGACUUCCACAUUUGGAAGCAGUUGUGAUUGGGCGUGGCCCAGAGACCAAGAUCACUGAUAAGAAAUGUUCUCGACAGCAAGUACAGUUGAAAGCAGAGUGUAACAAGGGAUAUGUCAAGGUAAAGCAGAGUUUGAGGAAGAGGCAAAGAACCCUGGCCUGGAAACACACAGGAAGAGAAAGAGAUCAGGCAACAGUGAUUCUAUAGAAAGGGAUGCUGCUCAGGAAGCUGAGGCUGGGACAGGGCUGGAACCUGGGAGCAACUCUGGCCAAUGCUCUGUGCCCCUAAAGAAGGGAAAAGAUGCACCUAUCAAAAAGGAAUCCCUGGGCCACUGGAGUCAAGGCUUGAAGAUUUCUAUGCAGGACCCCAAAAUGCAGCCAUGUACAUCUUCAUGUGAUCAGCCAGGAUUUUGAUUCUCCUUGCCUUAAAAACAAAAAACAUUGGAAUUCUUUCAAUACAGAAUACUUCCUAGAAUCACAAGCUGUGAUCGAGAUGGUACAAGAGGCUGGUAGAGUAACUGUCCGAGAUGGGAUGCCUGAGCUCUUGAAGCUGCCCCUUCGUUGUCAUGAGUGCCAGCAGCUGCUGCCUUCCAUUCCUCAGCUGAAAGAACAUCUCAGGAAGCACUGGACACAGUGAUUCUGCAGAGCCUGAGCUGCUGCUGUGGUGUGGCCCACUGGAGCAAACUGCUGGCACCUAUUCUGGGUUGCUUGUGAACUUCUACUCAUUUCCUAAAUUAAAACAUGCAGCUUUUUCACAAAUUUAUUCUAUUAUUGAGUGGCCACAAUGUAGAGUGGCUCAAAGUACUUCAGGAUUAGGAAUUUGGGUUUGUCAUAGAUGUAUUCUCUGGUGAGGGUGGCUGGGAUAUACCUGACCCACCAUCUUCAGAAGGACCCAUGUCAGGUCUGACCAUUGGGAGCAAAGCCAUGUUCACACUGACCUAAUGCAGAGUAUGGAAGCAUUGGGCUGGUUAUACAUUUCUGUUUCUUAGAUUUAUCCUCCGCCUCUGUAGGCAUGGACAACCUUUAAUCAGAGCAUCUAGAGUGGCCUCUUGUUUAUCCUGAAGAUACUGAUGGGUCUUGUUUUCUGUUAGUCUGUUUUGUAAUAUUCUUUUCCCUUCCUUCAUGGGGAGGCUUAGUUUGUCCAGUCCUUCCAUGCCCUUCUAUCCCAGAUUACCUAAAUGUUCCCUUCUCAGGAAUUCUGUCUCAUCAGUUCUUCACAGUGAGAAAAGAGGCUAGAUGAUGGUGUGGGGGGUUGGAGUUUUCUUCUAAUACCGAGGGUUCCUGGCUGUGAGGAAACAGCCACAUGUUCGUCAUGAUUGAGCUGUGAAGUCUUCUUGGACCUGUUGUCUGAAAAUAAAGUUAAUUUGUUUGAGGCAUCUCUCUUAAGUAGGUGGAAACUAUUGAAGUUCAGCUAACAAUCACAGCAUAGGUUCUGAUGCAUGGAAAGGUGGUUGGUGAAUGAAAAAGUUGCGUAGAGCCACUACUUUCUUUUUCCCUGAGAAUAAAUUUGGAUAAAA